GAGGGUAUAGCUCAGUGGUAGAGUGUGUGCUUAGCAUGCACAAGGUCCUGGGUUCAAUCCCCAGUACUUCCA
Transfer RNA from Camelus ferus (Wild Bactrian camel), 72 nucleotides. It matches the Rfam family "tRNA". Rfam says of the family: Transfer RNA (tRNA) molecules are approximately 80 nucleotides in length. NCBI's taxonomy places the organism in Eukaryota, Metazoa, Chordata, Mammalia, Artiodactyla, Camelidae. The record is from Rfam.